RNAcentral lists this ribosomal RNA (1372 nucleotides) under uncultured bacterium. Its description in RNAcentral is "bacterial SSU rRNA". It matches the Rfam family "Bacterial small subunit ribosomal RNA", at positions 28 to 1381 of the family's 1533-position model. The record is from RNAcentral.
GAUGAACGCUGGCGGCGUGCCUAAUACAUGCAAGUCGAGCGAACGGACGAGAAGCUUGCUUCUCUGAUGUUAGCGGCGGACGGGUGAGUAACACGUGGAUAACCUACCUAUAAGACUGGGAUAACUUCGGGAAACCGGAGCUAAUACCGGAUAAUAUUUUGAACCGCAUGGUUCAAAAGUGAAAGACGGUCUUGCUGUCACUUAUAGAUGGAUCCGCGCUGCAUUAGCUAGUUGGUAAGGUAACGGCUUACCAAGGCAACGAUGCAUAGCCGACCUGAGAGGGUGAUCGGCCACACUGGAACUGAGACACGGUCCAGACUCCUACGGGAGGCAGCAGUAGGGAAUCUUCCGCAAUGGGCGAAAGCCUGACGGAGCAACGCCGCGUGAGUGAUGAAGGUCUUCGGAUCGUAAAACUCUGUUAUUAGGGAAGAACAUAUGUGUAAGUAACUGUGCACAUCUUGACGGUACCUAAUCAGAAAGCCACGGCUAACUACGUGCCAGCAGCCGCGGUAAUACGUAGGUGGCAAGCGUUAUCCGGAAUUAUUGGGCGUAAAGCGCGCGUAGGCGGCUUUUUAAGUCUGAUGUGAAAGCCCACGGCUCAACCGUGGAGGGUCAUUGGAAACUGGAAAACUUGAGUGCAGAAGAGGAAAGUGGAAUUCCAUGUGUAGCGGUGAAAUGCGCAGAGAUAUGGAGGAACACCAGUGGCGAAGGCGACUUUCUGGUCUGUAACUGACGCUGAUGUGCGAAAGCGUGGGGAUCAAACAGGAUUAGAUACCCUGGUAGUCCACGCCGUAAACGAUGAGUGCUAAGUGUUAGGGGGUUUCCGCCCCUUAGUGCUGCAGCUAACGCAUUAAGCACUCCGCCUGGGGAGUACGACCGCAAGGUUGAAACUCAGAGGAAUUGACGGGGACCCGCACAAGCGGUGGAGCAUGUGGUUUAAUUCGAAGCAACGCGAAGAACCUUACCAAAUCUUGACAUCCUUUGACAACUCUAGAGAUAGAGCCUUCCCCUUCGGGGGACAAAGUGACAGGUGGUGCAUGGUUGUCGUCAGCUCGUGUCGUGAGAUGUUGGGUUAAGUCCCGCAACGAGCGCAACCCUUAAGCUUAGUUGCCAUCAUUAAGUUGGGCACUCUAAGUUGACUGCCGGUGACAAACCGGAGGAAGGUGGGGAUGACGUCAAAUCAUCAUGCCCCUUAUGAUUUGGGCUACACACGUGCUACAAUGGACAAUACAAAGGGCAGCGAAACCGCGAGGUCAAGCAAAUCCCAUAAAGUUGUUCUCAGUUCGGAUUGUAGUCUGCAACUCGACUACAUGAAGCUGGAAUCGCUAGUAAUCGUAGAUCAGCAUGCUACGGUGAAUACGUUCCCGGGUCU